Molecule: ribosomal RNA, 618 nt
Filed under: uncultured bacterium
Lineage: Bacteria
Description: bacterial SSU rRNA
Rfam family: Bacterial small subunit ribosomal RNA (bases 1-525)
Source: RNAcentral
CCUACGGGAGGCAGCAGUGGGGAAUAUUGCGCAAUGGGCGAAAGCCUGACGCAGCGACGCAGCGUGAGGGACGAAGGCCUUCGGGUUGUAGACCUCUUUCAGCGGGGACGAAGCGAAAGUGACGGUACCCGCAGAAGAAGCACCGGCUAACUACGUGCCAGCAGCCGCGGUAAUACGUAGGGUGCAAGCAUUGUCCGGAUUUAUUGGGCGUAAAGAGCUCGUAGGCGGCUUGUCACGUCGGAUGUGAAAACUCGGGGCUCAACCCCGAGCCUGCAUUCGAUACGGGCUAGCUAGAGUGUUGCAGGGGAGACUGGAAUUCCUGGUGUAGCGGUGAAAUGCGCAGAUAUCAGGAGGAACACCGGUGGCGAAGGCGGGUCUCUGGGCAACUACUGACGCUGAGGAGCGAAAGCGUGGGGAGCGAACAGGAUUAGAUACCCUGGUAGUCCACGCCGUAAACGGUGGGCGCUAGGUGUGGGGAACCUUCCACGUUCUCUGUGCCGUAGCUAACGCAUUAAGCGCCCCGCCGCGGGAGGUACGGCCGCGACGGACGUAAACGUACUAAAGUAGUAAGUUAGACGGUCGUUGAGACGUUGCCGACGGCGACGACGAGGGAGGAGG